UCCAGGAAGGCUGGCACCCGGAUCUGGGGAGGACACAUGACAAGUUGGAAAGGGACACAGAAACAUGGCAGGUCACCUUCUGGGUCCACUACAAAACCUUCUCUAAAUUAUCACCACCCUCCUCCCAAAACAAAUAACCCUUCUCACGUCCGUACCUCUUGAGAGUGUUGAAGAUGGAGGGCUCCAUGAUGUAGUCCCGGGUGGAAAACUUGUGGAGGCACUCCUGCUGGACCUCAGCGUCAUCCUCCCCCUCGGCAUACUCCUCCUCCUGCUGGGGGUCAUUUCUCCAUUAACAAAAGCUCCGGGAACCUCACAAGUCUCUCUCACACUGUCCCCUUCAAAUUAUGCCACACAUGGCACAUUAUUACAUGUGACUUCCGUGCGACUCUCAGGGAGUGGGCUGGACAGUAAUGAGUGGCCAAGAAAAUGGGAUCCAGAGUCACACCAAGGGGGUCUGUCUUGGCCUCUACCCUGGAGAACCUGUGCACGCGGUCACACAAGCCACCUCGUCUCUGGGCACCUUCCCUGUUCAACAAACAAAGGGCAUCAAAGCACCUACUCCCACUUGGCUGUUGGGAGGACUGCACAGCUAAUUUUUGGAAGAGCCAAAUCCAGUGCCUGCCAUUUAGUAAGAGUUCAGCAGACAUUAGCUAUUACUGUUUUUACUAUUAUUCUGUAUGUGCCAUUUCACGCUUUCUGGCCAAGUUAAGGCAAUAGUGAUUCCUGCAGGCACACACCGCCCACCUGCUGUUAGAAAGUAAAGACCACAGACCUGCAUCGUAUAAGCAGCCCUGGCUGGGUUCUAGUCCCCCUUCUACCUGGAAACCAUUUAAGCACGUUCCCGAGUCUAAGGACAAAGCAGCAGGAUGAUGUGAUAACCGUGGACCAGUGACCCCGAGGUCUGCCCAGCUCUCACUGUUGUCCUAAUGAACAAGCAGGUGCUUCUGAACACUUGCUGUGCGCUGGGGGCACUGGCUGACCCCCAGGGGACCUAGGAACAUGGAAGACAAGGCGUGCCUCUCCACCCGAGGAGUUCACAAACUAGUCGGAGACCAACCUCCACGUCACUGACUCUCCGUAGGGCAAGAGCUGGGCCAGACUCAGCAAACGUGGCCCCGGGCCCAAUCCAGUCCUCCUCUUGUUUUUGUGAAUAAAAUUGUAUUGGAACAACA
Long non-coding RNA from Myotis lucifugus (little brown bat), 1172 nucleotides. RefSeq lists it as uncharacterized. The transcript is spliced from 2 exons. NCBI's taxonomy places the organism in Eukaryota, Metazoa, Chordata, Mammalia, Chiroptera, Vespertilionidae. The record is from RefSeq and is a predicted model, not a curated record.